RNAcentral lists this ribosomal RNA (632 nucleotides) under Microterricola sp. RNAcentral describes it as "bacterial SSU rRNA". It matches the Rfam family "Bacterial small subunit ribosomal RNA", at positions 139 to 784 of the family's 1533-position model. The record is from RNAcentral. Lineage: Bacteria; Bacillati; Actinomycetota; Actinomycetes; Micrococcales; Microbacteriaceae.
UGGGAUAAGCGUUGGAAACGACGUCUAAUACCGGAUACGACCCUCGGAGGCAUCUCCUGGGGGUGGAAAGAAUUUUGGUCAAGGAUGAGCUCGCGGCCUAUCAGCUAGUUGGUGAGGUAAUGGCUCACCAAGGCGACGACGGGUAGCCGGCCUGAGAGGGUGACCGGCCACACUGGGACUGAGACACGGCCCAGACUCCUACGGGAGGCAGCAGUGGGGAAUAUUGCACAAUGGGCGAAAGCCUGAUGCAGCAACGCCGCGUGAGGGAUGACGGCCUUCGGGUUGUAAACCUCUUUUAGUAGGGAAGAAGCGAAAGUGACGGUACCUGCAGAAAAAGCACCGGCUAACUACGUGCCAGCAGCCGCGGUAAUACGUAGGGUGCAAGCGUUGUCCGGAAUUAUUGGGCGUAAAGAGCUCGUAGGCGGUUUGUCGCGUCUGCUGUGAAAUCUGGGGGCUCAACCCCCAGCCUGCAGUGGGUACGGGCAGACUAGAGUGCGGUAGGGGAGAUUGGAAUUACCUGGUGUAGCGGUGGAAUGCGCAGAUAUCAGGAGGAACACCGAUGGCGAAGGCAGAUCUCUGGGCCGUAACUGACGCUGAGGAGCGAAAGCAUGGGGAGCGAACAGGAUUAGAUA